Molecule: unclassified non-coding RNA, 112 nt
Filed under: Macaca assamensis (Assam macaque)
Lineage: Eukaryota; Metazoa; Chordata; Mammalia; Primates; Cercopithecidae
Description: microRNA mir-220 precursor
Source: RNAcentral
GGACAGCGUGGCAUUGUAGGGCUCCACCACCAUGUCUGACACUUUGGGUGAGAGCACCACGCUGAAGGUGUUCAUAAUGUGGUCUGGGAACUCCUUGUGGAUCUUACUGAUG